AUUGAACGCUGGCGGCAGGCCUAACACAUGCAAGUCGAACGGUAACAGGAAACAGCUUGCUGUUUCGCUGACGAGUGGCGGACGGGUGAGUAAUGUCUGGGAAACUGCCUGAUGGAGGGGGAUAACUACUGGAAACGGUAGCUAAUACCGCAUAACGUCGCAAGACCAAAGAGGGGGACCUUCGGGCCUCUUGCCAUCAGAUGUGCCCAGAUGGGAUUAGCUAGUAGGUGGGGUAACGGCUCACCUAGGCGACGAUCCCUAGCUGGUCUGAGAGGAUGACCAGCCACACUGGAACUGAGACACGGUCCAGACUCCUACGGGAGGCAGCAGUGGGGAAUAUUGCACAAUGGGCGCAGGCCUGAUGCAGCCAUGCCGCGUGUAUGAAGAAGGCCUUCGGGUUGUAAAGUACUUUCAGCGGGGAGGAAGGCGAUAAGGUUAAUAACCUUGUCGAUUGACGUUACCCGCAGAAGAAGCACCGGCUAACUCCGUGCCAGCCGCGCCGUAA
This 505-nucleotide ribosomal RNA is filed under the name uncultured bacterium. Its description in RNAcentral is "partial 16S ribosomal RNA". It matches the Rfam family "Bacterial small subunit ribosomal RNA", at positions 30 to 523 of the family's 1533-position model. The record is from RNAcentral.